Molecule: ribosomal RNA, 600 nt
Filed under: Jeotgalibacillus sp. YIM C304
Lineage: Bacteria; Bacillati; Bacillota; Bacilli; Caryophanales; Caryophanaceae
Description: bacterial SSU rRNA
Rfam family: Bacterial small subunit ribosomal RNA
Source: RNAcentral
ACGAACGCUGGCGGCGUGCCUAAUACAUGCAAGUCGAGCGGACUUGUUUGGAGCUUGCUCCAAACAAGUUAGCGGCGGACGGGUGAGUAACACGUGGGCAAUCUGCCCGUAAGACUGGGAUAACUCCGGGAAACCGGGGCUAAUACCGGAUAAUCCCGACUCUCUCCUGAGAGUCGGUUGAAAGAUGGUUUCGGCUAUCACUUACGGAUGAGCCCGCGGCGCAUUAGCUAGUUGGUGAGGUAAUGGCUCACCAAGGCGACGAUGCGUAGCCGACCUGAGAGGGUGAUCGGCCACACUGGGACUGAGACACGGCCCAGACUCCUACGGGAGGCAGCAGUAGGGAAUCUUCCGCAAUGGACGAAAGUCUGACGGAGCAACGCCGCGUGAGUGAUGAAGGUUUUCGGAUCGUAAAACUCUGUUGUUAGGGAAGAACACGUACGAGAGUAACUGCUCGUACCUUGACGGUACCUAACCAGAAAGCCACGGCUAACUACGUGCCAGCAGCCGCGGUAAUACGUAGGUGGCAAGCGUUGUCCGGAAUUAUUGGGCGUAAAGCGCGCGCAGGUGGUUCCUUAAGUCUGAUGUGAAAGCCCCCGGCUC